RNAcentral lists this ribosomal RNA (249 nucleotides) under Triticum aestivum (bread wheat). RNAcentral's name for it is "partial small subunit ribosomal RNA". The record is from RNAcentral. Lineage: Eukaryota; Viridiplantae; Streptophyta; Magnoliopsida; Poales; Poaceae.
AUGUAUUGUGCGCUCACGCAUUCUGAUGUACCGGUGAGUAAUAAUAAGCAAAUUUGGAGGUCGGAGAUACCACUAAAAGUUAAAGUCUUCAUGUGGUAUCUUCAUAGGGGAGUUGUGCUAACCAAAGACAACCUUGCACGACGCAAUUGAGAAGGGAGUAAGAGGUGUUGUUUUUGUACUCAUGAUGAGACAAUCAGACACCUCUUUUUCCAAUGCAACUUUGUAAAUUUUACGUGGUCAAUCAUCUAA